GGUUAAGCGACUAAGCGUACACGGUGGAUGCCCUGGCAGUCAGAGGCGAUGAAGGACGUGCUAAUCUGCGAUAAGCGUCGGUAAGGUGAUAUGAACCGUUAUAACCGGCGAUUUCCGAAUGGGGAAACCCAGUGUGUUUCGACACACUAUCAUUAACUGAAUCCAUAGGUUAAUGAGGCGAACCGGGGGAACUGAAACAUCUAAGUACCCCGAGGAAAAGAAAUCAACCGAGAUUCCCCCAGUAGCGGCGAGCGAACGGGGAGCAGCCCAGAGCCUGAAUCAGUGUGUGUGUUAGUGGAAGCGUCUGGAAAGGCGCGCGAUACAGGGUGACAGCCCCGUACACAAAAAUGCACAUGCUGUGAGCUCGAUGAGUAGGGCGGGACACGUGGUAUCCUGUCUGAAUAUGGGGGGACCAUCCUCCAAGGCUAAAUACUCCUGACUGACCGAUAGUGAACCAGUACCGUGAGGGAAAGGCGAAAAGAACCCCGGCGAGGGGAGUGAAAAAGAACCUGAAACCGUGUACGUACAAGCAGUGGGAGCACGCUUAGGCGUGUGACUGCGUACCUUUUGUAUAAUGGGUCAGCGACUUAUAUUCUGUAGCAAGGUUAACCGAAUAGGGGAGCCGAAGGGAAACCGAGUCUUAACUGGGCGUUAAGUUGCAGGGUAUAGACCCGAAACCCGGUGAUCUAGCCAUGGGCAGGUUGAAGGUUGGGUAACACUAACUGGAGGACCGAACCGACUAAUGUUGAAAAAUUAGCGGAUGACUUGUGGCUGGGGGUGAAAGGCCAAUCAAACCGGGAGAUAGCUGGUUCUCCCCGAAAGCUAUUUAGGUAGCGCCUCGUGAAUUCAUCUCCGGGGGUAGAGCACUGUUUCGGCAAGGGGGUCAUCCCGACUUACCAACCCGAUGCAAACUGCGAAUACCGGAGAAUGUUAUCACGGGAGACACACGGCGGGUGCUAACGUCCGUCGUGAAGAGGGAAACAACCCAGACCGCCAGCUAAGGUCCCAAAGUCAUGGUUAAGUGGGAAACGAUGUGGGAAGGCCCAGACAGCCAGGAUGUUGGCUUAGAAGCAGCCAUCAUUUAAAGAAAGCGUAAUAGCUCACUGGUCGAGUCGGCCUGCGCGGAAGAUGUAACGGGGCUAAACCAUGCACCGAAGCUGCGGCAGCGACGCUGAUGCGUUGUUGGGUAGGGGAGCGUUCUGUAAGCCUGUGAAGGUGUGCUGUGAGGUAUGCUGGAGGUAUCAGAAGUGCGAAUGCUGACAUAAGUAACGAUAAAGCGGGUGAAAAGCCCGCUCGCCGGAAGACCAAGGGUUCCUGUCCAACGUUAAUCGGGGCAGGGUGAGUCGACCCCUAAGGCGAGGCCGAAAGGCGUAGUCGAUGGGAAACAGGUUAAUAUUCCUGUACUUGGUGUUACUGCGAAGGGGGGACGGAGAAGGCUAUGUUGGCCGGGCGACGGUUGUCCCGGUUUAAGCGUGUAGGCUGGUUUUCCAGGCAAAUCCGGAAAAUCAAGGCUGAGGCGUGAUGACGAGGCACUACGGUGCUGAAGCAACAAAUGCCCUGCUUCCAGGAAAAGCCUCUAAGCAUCAGGUAACAUCAAAUCGUACCCCAAACCGACACAGGUGGUCAGGUAGAGAAUACCAAGGCGCUUGAGAGAACUCGGGUGAAGGAACUAGGCAAAAUGGUGCCGUAACUUCGGGAGAAGGCACGCUGAUAUGUAGGUGAAGUCCCUCGCGGAUGGAGCUGAAAUCAGUCGAAGAUACCAGCUGGCUGCAACUGUUUAUUAAAAACACAGCACUGUGCAAACACGAAAGUGGACGUAUACGGUGUGACGCCUGCCCGGUGCCGGAAGGUUAAUUGAUGGGGUCAGCGCAAGCGAAGCUCUUGAUCGAAGCCCCGGUAAACGGCGGCCGUAACUAUAACGGUCCUAAGGUAGCGAAAUUCCUUGUCGGGUAAGUUCCGACCUGCACGAAUGGCGUAAUGAUGGCCAGGCUGUCUCCACCCGAGACUCAGUGAAAUUGAACUCGCUGUGAAGAUGCAGUGUACCCGCGGCAAGACGGAAAGACCCCGUGAACCUUUACUAUAGCUUGACACUGAACAUUGAGCCUUGAUGUGUAGGAUAGGUGGGAGGCUUUGAAGUGUGGACGCCAGUCUGCAUGGAGCCGACCUUGAAAUACCACCCUUUAAUGUUUGAUGUUCUAACGUUGACCCGUGAUCCGGGUUGCGGACAGUGUCUGGUGGGUAGUUUGACUGGGGCGGUCUCCUCCUAAAGAGUAACGGAGGAGCACGAAGGUUGGCUAAUCCUGGUCGGACAUCAGGAGGUUAGUGCAAUGGCAUAAGCCAGCUUGACUGCGAGCGUGACGGCGCGAGCAGGUGCGAAAGCAGGUCAUAGUGAUCCGGUGGUUCUGAAUGGAAGGGCCAUCGCUCAACGGAUAAAAGGUACUCCGGGGAUAACAGGCUGAUACCGCCCAAGAGUUCAUAUCGACGGCGGUGUUUGGCACCUCGAUGUCGGCUCAUCACAUCCUGGGGCUGAAGUAGGUCCCAAGGGUAUGGCUGUUCGCCAUUUAAAGUGGUACGCGAGCUGGGUUUAGAACGUCGUGAGACAGUUCGGUCCCUAUCUGCCGUGGGCGCUGGAGAACUGAGGGGGGCUGCUCCUAGUACGAGAGGACCGGAGUGGACGCAUCACUGGUGUUCGGGUUGUCAUGCCAAUGGCACUGCCCGGUAGCUAAAUGCGGAAGAGAUAAGUGCUGAAAGCAUCUAAGCACGAAACUUGCCCCGAGAUGAGUUCUCCCUGACUCCUUGAGAGUCCUGAAGGAACGUUGAAGACGACGACGUUGAUAGGCCGGGUGUGUAAGCGCAGCGAUGCGUUGAGCUAACCGGUACUAAUGAACCGUGAGGCUUAACCUU
This 2904-nucleotide ribosomal RNA is filed under the name Escherichia coli. RNAcentral's name for it is "23S ribosomal RNA". It matches the Rfam family "Bacterial large subunit ribosomal RNA". The record is from RNAcentral. Lineage: Bacteria; Pseudomonadati; Pseudomonadota; Gammaproteobacteria; Enterobacterales; Enterobacteriaceae.